UGCAUAUCAAUAAGCGGAGGAAAAGAAACUAACAAGGAUUCCCCUAGUAACGGCGAGUGAAGCGGGAAGUGCUCAAAUUUGAAAUCUGGUAGCCUUCGGUUGCCCGAGUUGUAAUCUAGAGAAGUGUUUUCCGUGCCGGCCCAUGUACAAGUCCCUUGGAACAGGGCGUCAUAGAGGGUGAGAAUCCCGUCCUUGACAUGGACCCCCGGUGCUUUGUGAUACACUUUCAACGAGUCGAGUUGUUUGGGAAUGCAGCUCAAAAUGGGUGGUGAAUUCCAUCUAAAGCUAAAUAUUGGCGAGAGACCGAUAGCGAACAAGUACCGUGAGGGAAAGAUGAAAAGCACUUUGGAAAGAGAGUUAAACAGUACGUGAAAUUGUUGAAAGGGAAACGAUUGAAGUCAGUCAUGCUCUUAGGAUUCAGCCGUUCUGCGGUGUAUUUCCUUUGAGUGGGGUCAACAUCAGUUUUGAUCGAUGGAUAAAGGCACGAGGAAGGUAGCACUCUCGGGUGAACUUAUAGCCUCGCGUCAUAUACAUUGAUUGGGACUGAGGAACGCAGCACGCCUUUAUGGCCGGGAUUCGUCCACGUACAUGCAUAGGAGUGACCAUAAGCCA
RNAcentral lists this ribosomal RNA (612 nucleotides) under Naganishia adeliensis. RNAcentral describes it as "eukaryotic LSU rRNA". It matches the Rfam family "Eukaryotic large subunit ribosomal RNA", at positions 37 to 620 of the family's 3401-position model. The record is from RNAcentral. Lineage: Eukaryota; Fungi; Basidiomycota; Tremellomycetes; Filobasidiales; Filobasidiaceae.